RNAcentral lists this ribosomal RNA (463 nucleotides) under uncultured bacterium. RNAcentral describes it as "partial 16S ribosomal RNA". It matches the Rfam family "Bacterial small subunit ribosomal RNA", at positions 28 to 507 of the family's 1533-position model. The record is from RNAcentral.
GACGAACGCUGGCGGCGUGCUUAACACAUGCAAGUCGAACGGGGAACCCCUUCGUAGGGGAUCAGUGGCGAACGGGUGAUUAACACGUGGGCAACCGUCCCCCGUCUCUGGGAUAACUCCAAGCAAUUGGGGCUAAUACCGGAUGGUCACCGCUUCCCUCAUGGUUGGUUGUGGAAAGGUUUGCCGGCUGGGUAUGGGCGCGCGGCGCAUCAGCUUGUGGGGUGGGUAGGGGGAUACCAAGGCGAGGACGGGUAGCCUGCCUGCGAGGGGGACCGGCCACACUGCGCCUGGGCUGCGACACGGCCUCCUCCGCGACGCAGCACUGCGGUAUAUUACGCUAUGCGCGGAAGCAUGGCCCGGCCCCGCCGCGUGGGGGAUGACGGCAUUCGGGUUGUAAACCUCUUUCAGCAGGGACGAAGCGAAAGUGACGGUACCUGCAGAAGAAGCACCGGCCAACUACGUG